CGGGGAAUUUUGGACAAUGGGCGAAAGCCUGAUCCAGCAAUGCCGCGUGUGUGAAGAAGGCCUUCGGGUUGUAAAGCACUUUUGUCCGGAAAGAAAUCCUUGGCUCUAAUACAGUCGGGGGAUGACGGUACCGGAAGAAUAAGCACCGGCUAACUACGUGCCAGCAGCCGCGGUAAUACGUAGGGUGCAAGCGUUAAUCGGAAUUACUGGGCGUAAAGCGUGCGCAGGCGGUUUGCUAAGACCGAUGUGAAAUCCCCGGGCUCAACCUGGGAACUGCAUUGGUGACUGGCAGGCUAGAGUAUGGCAGAGGGGGGUAGAAUUCCACGUGUAGCAGUGAAAUGCGUAGAGAUGUGGAGGAAUACCGAUGGCGAAGGCAGCCCCCUGGGCCAAUACUGACGCUCAUGCACGAAAGCGUGGGGAGCAAACAGGAUUAGAUACCCUGGUAGUCCACGCCCUAAAACGAUGUCAACUAGUUGUUGGGGAUUCAUUUCCUAGUAACGUAGCUAACGCGUGAAGUUGACCGCCUGGGGAGUACGGUCGCAAGAUUAAAACUCAAAUGAAUUGACGGGGUCAUAGCUG
Molecule: ribosomal RNA, 579 nt
Filed under: uncultured bacterium
Lineage: Bacteria
Description: partial 16S ribosomal RNA
Rfam family: Bacterial small subunit ribosomal RNA
Source: RNAcentral